UUUAAAAAUAGAAAAAGAGAGUUGGAGAUAGGAAUGAAAAUUGGAUCCCUCUCACUCUCCUUUCUCUCUUUCCACGUCGUUCUCUCCCUCUCUCUGCAAUAUCAUCGUCGUCCAUGUUCUCUCUCUCCGUUCAGCUGCAUCCCGCCGCUUGAGCUCUCCGGCGAAGUCACUGGGAUACCAGAAGCUCACAUAACUCACCCCAAGUCCUAAUUUCCCUUAGUUUCUCUCCAUUACAGAGAUUGAGUUUCAAUCCCACUUUAACCCAACAUCCAAAAUAGUUAUAAUUGGGGGCAAACCAGAUUCAAGUGCAUGUAACAAAUGAAAUGACAAGAUCUUGGAGGAGAUGAAUAAUUUAGAAGGAGUUUUAUUGGCAUGAAUCAGAGUAUCGUAGUGAGGAAUCUCACUAGUUGGGCAGCUGCGUCACUGCGUGUGUCUAGUUACUAUCUCUUUUGUCGAUAAAGUUACAGUGGCAUGCUUAGUUGAGGAUUUAUAGACGUGUAUAGUUGGAUAGAUUUUUUUGUUAUAGCAUGUUGCUAAUUCUAUAACAGAGUGUGUAUCUGUAUCUGUAUCUAUCUGUAUCUGUGUGAUAAAAAAAAUAUACAUACAUAUAUAUAUAUAUAUACAUGCGGAAAGUCAGGUUCUUAAUAA
This is a long non-coding RNA of Salvia hispanica, 648 nucleotides long. RefSeq lists it as uncharacterized. Lineage: Eukaryota; Viridiplantae; Streptophyta; Magnoliopsida; Lamiales; Lamiaceae. The record is from RefSeq and is a predicted model, not a curated record.